AGUGAACGCUGGCGGUAGGCCUAACACAUGCAAGUCGAACGGCAGCACAGUAAGAGCUUGCUCUUACGGGUGGCGAGUGGCGGACUGGUGAGGAAUACAUCGGAAUCUACUUUUUCGUGGGGGAUAACGUAGGGAAACUUACGCUAAUACCGCAUACGACCUACGGGUGAAAGCAGGGGAUCUUCGGACCUUGCGCGAUUGAAUGAGCCGAUGUCGGAUUAGCUAGUUGGCGGGGUAAAGGCCCACCAAGGCGACGAUCCGUAGCUGGUCUGAGAGGAUGAUCAGCCACACUGGAACUGAGACACGGUCCAGACUCCUACGGGAGGCAGCAGUGGGGAAUAUUGGACAAUGGGCGCAAGCCUGAUCCAGCCAUACCGCGUGGGUGGAGAAGGCCUUCGGGUUGUAAAGCCCUUUUGUUGGGAAAGAAAAGCAGCAGGUUAAUACCCCGCUGUUCUGACGGUACCCAAAGAAUAAGCACCGGCUAACUUCGUG
RNAcentral lists this ribosomal RNA (492 nucleotides) under uncultured bacterium. RNAcentral describes it as "partial 16S ribosomal RNA". It matches the Rfam family "Bacterial small subunit ribosomal RNA", at positions 29 to 507 of the family's 1533-position model. The record is from RNAcentral.